AUAUCAAUAAGCGGAGGAAAAGAAACCAACAGGGAUUGCCUCAGUAACGGCGAGUGAAGCGGCAAGAGCUCAAAUUUGAAAUCUGGCCCCCUCGGGGUCCGAGUUGUAAUUUGCAGAGGAUGCUUCGGAUGCGGCCCCCGUCUAAGUGCCCUGGAAUGGGCCGUCGGAGAGGGUGAGAAUCCCGUCUGGGAUGGGGUGCCCGUGUCCGUGUGAAGCUCCUUCGACGAGUCGAGUUGUUUGGGAAUGCAGCUCUAAAUGGGUGGUAAAUUUCAUCUAAAGCUAAAUACUGGCCGGAGACCGAUAGCGCACAAGUAGAGUGAUCGAAAGAUGAAAAGCACUUUGAAAAGAGAGUUAAACAGCACGUGAAAUUGUUGAAAGGGAAGCGCUUGCGACCAGACUCGCCCGCGGGGUUCAGCCGGCAUUCGUGCCGGUGUACUUCCCCGCGGGCGGGCCAGCGUCGGUUUGGGCGGCCGGUCAAAGGCCCCCGGAAUGUAGCGCCCUUCGGGGCACCUUAUAGCCGGGGGUGCAAUGCGGCCAGCCUGGACCGAGGAACGCGCUUCGGCACGGACGCUGGCAUAAUGGUCGUAAACGA
This 592-nucleotide ribosomal RNA is filed under the name Aspergillus tanneri. RNAcentral describes it as "eukaryotic LSU rRNA". It matches the Rfam family "Eukaryotic large subunit ribosomal RNA", at positions 40 to 647 of the family's 3401-position model. The record is from RNAcentral. Lineage: Eukaryota; Fungi; Ascomycota; Eurotiomycetes; Eurotiales; Aspergillaceae.